RNAcentral lists this ribosomal RNA (108 nucleotides) under Thermus tengchongensis. RNAcentral describes it as "partial 16S ribosomal RNA". It matches the Rfam family "Bacterial small subunit ribosomal RNA", at positions 1434 to 1533 of the family's 1533-position model. The record is from RNAcentral. Lineage: Bacteria; Thermotogati; Deinococcota; Deinococci; Thermales; Thermaceae.
GCUGGGAGCCAUUGGGCAGGCGCCGAGGGUAGGGCUCGUGACUGGGGCGAAGUCGUAACAAGGUAGCUGUACCGGAAGGUGCGGCUGGAUCACCUCCUUUCUAAGGAG